Long non-coding RNA from Glycine soja, 705 nucleotides. RefSeq lists it as uncharacterized. NCBI's taxonomy places the organism in Eukaryota, Viridiplantae, Streptophyta, Magnoliopsida, Fabales, Fabaceae. The transcript is spliced from 3 exons. The record is from RefSeq and is a predicted model, not a curated record.
AAUGGCUCAUUCCCUAGGUUGUCGCACACCCCUAAGCUCCGCGUGGCGUGGUUCUGAGUUUCGAACCACCGUGAAUGGCUCGUGCCCUUUUGUUGUCGUGGCCUGCAAGUGGCUUCCUCAUCCUUCAUCUCAGGCUCAGAUUUCAAAUGCAUGUUCUCUUUGAGGAACUACAAAGAUGGUUUCUGAUGUUUAUGUUGGUGGAGACACAAGUUUCAGAGUCAAUAGCAAGAUGUACACCAAAUUGGAUUCUUGUUUGGUGAUACCACCUACCCCAAAUCGUGCCAAGCCUCGAGCUAUAGUCAAAUUCCUGGGUGGUGCCUUCAUUGGUGUUGUUCCUAAAGUUAACUAUGGGUAUUUUUUUUUCUGUUACCCUUUCGUUUUUUCCAUGCAAAGUUUGAAUCUUUAUCAUUAAUAGAUGUUUUUUUUCCCAUGUUGGUAAUGUUUGUUGGAGGUGGGGUCAACCCUGACAUCUAGGUUGCCUCAAGCCAAUUUGUCACCUGCUCAGUUUGAAGACCUUCCUCUUUUCUCUAUUGGUCAUAGCAAUGGGGCACUUCUUCAAGUACUCGUAGGAAGCUUAUUUUUUGAGAAAAUACCUAAGCAAUUCAAGGAGUGUGAAGAAAAGGUAUAUAUCUCUUGUGGAAGGCUAAUGCCAUAAUCGCUUACAACAACAGGCCAGCAACGGAGGCAGUCCCUUACUUUGAACAG